Molecule: transfer RNA, 74 nt
Filed under: compost metagenome
Description: tRNA-Lys
Rfam family: tRNA
About the family: Transfer RNA (tRNA) molecules are approximately 80 nucleotides in length.
Source: RNAcentral
GGGCCCGUAGCUCAGCUGGCAGAGCAGUGGACUUUUAAUCCAUCGGUCCCGGGUUCGAACCCCGGCGGGCCCAC